UGAAAUUCUAUGGGGAUACACAGCUAUGUGC
Molecule: non-coding RNA, 31 nt
Filed under: Mus musculus (house mouse)
Lineage: Eukaryota; Metazoa; Chordata; Mammalia; Rodentia; Muridae
Source: RNAcentral